UGAGGGAGACCUGAAGAAGAAAGCUUGGU
This 29-nucleotide non-coding RNA is filed under the name Macaca fascicularis (crab-eating macaque). RNAcentral also lists the same sequence under 1 other name. The record is from RNAcentral. Lineage: Eukaryota; Metazoa; Chordata; Mammalia; Primates; Cercopithecidae.